AUGAACGCUGGCGGUAUGCUUAACCCAUGCAAGUCGCACGGACUCUUCGGAGUUAGUGGCGGACGGGUGAGUAACGCGUGAGAAUCUGGCUUUGGGUUCGGGACAACCACUGGAAACGGUGGCUAAUACCGGAUGUGCCGAGAGGUAAAAGAGAAAUUGCCUGAAGAUGAGCUCGCGUCUGAUUAGCUAGUUGGUGAGGUAAAGGCUCACCAAGGCAGCGAUCAGUAGCUGGUCUGAGAGGAUGACCAGCCACACUGGGACUGAGACACGGCCCAGACUCCUACGGGAGGCAGCAGUGGGGAAUUUUCCGCAAUGGGCGAAAGCCUGACGGAGCAAUACCGCGUGAGGGAAGAAGGCUCUUGGGUUGUAAACCUCUUUUCUUAGGGAAGAACAAAAUGACGGUACCUAAGGAAUCAGCAUCGGCUAACUCCGUG
Molecule: ribosomal RNA, 434 nt
Filed under: uncultured bacterium
Lineage: Bacteria
Description: partial 16S ribosomal RNA
Rfam family: Bacterial small subunit ribosomal RNA
Source: RNAcentral